CGCACUCUCUCGUGCGUGAUUCCUGAGACACAGAAAAAAAAAAAAAUAAUAAUUCCGCUAUGUUCCAUCCGAUAUUCUGCGAAAAACGGAAUCCUCUCGCAUCGUCGUCGAAGGAGAAGGAGACGACAGGAGGGAGCGACAGGAAAGUCGCGGAUGAAACGUAAUAAAUUAAAUCAGUGGAUCAUCCUUUGAUCUUUUGUCGAUUGUUCGUUAAUUGCGUAGUUUCUCGGUUUUCUCCUGAGAGAACAAAGACAAAUCCUACGUCGUUCCAGCAGCCGUACCAGUCGGAAUUGACCAGUAACGUUGAUCGAUCAGCCGCAUCGACCAAUCGCAGCAGAUGAAGCUCGAGAGAGAGACCUUGAAGGAACCGCGACGAAGUGUAGAAGACCGGAAAAAGAAUGAACAAUUCAGUUGAGGGUACCCCGACACUGAGGAGCUCCGCAAAG
Long non-coding RNA from Pseudomyrmex gracilis, 446 nucleotides. RefSeq lists it as uncharacterized. The record is from RefSeq and is a predicted model, not a curated record. The transcript has 3 exons. NCBI's taxonomy places the organism in Eukaryota, Metazoa, Arthropoda, Insecta, Hymenoptera, Formicidae.